GCUGGGUGUGGUGGCGCAAGCCUGUAAUCCUAGCAACCCAGGAAGCUGAGGCAGGAGGAUUGUGAGUUCAAAGCCAGCUUCAGCAAUUUAGCAAGCCCUGAGCAACUUAGCAAGACCUUGUCUCAA
Molecule: small RNA, 126 nt
Filed under: Marmota monax (woodchuck)
Lineage: Eukaryota; Metazoa; Chordata; Mammalia; Rodentia; Sciuridae
Source: RNAcentral